Molecule: ribosomal RNA, 349 nt
Filed under: Atherina boyeri (big-scale sand smelt)
Lineage: Eukaryota; Metazoa; Chordata; Actinopteri; Atheriniformes; Atherinidae
Description: partial 12S ribosomal RNA
Rfam family: Bacterial small subunit ribosomal RNA
Source: RNAcentral
CGUUCGCCUGGGGACUACGAGCACUAGCUUAAAACCCAAAGGACUUGGCGGUGCUUUAGAUCCACCUAGAGGAGCCUGUUCUGGAACCGAUAACCCCCGUUUAACCUCACCCUCCCUUGCUUAUUCCGCCUAUAUACCGCCGUCGUCAGCUUACCCUGUGAAGGCAGCAUAGUAAGCAAAACCAGUACAACUCAAAACGUCAGGUCGAGGUGUAGCAUACGGGAGGGGAAGAAAUGGGCUACAUUCUCUGGUUAAGAGAAUACGGAUAAUGACAUGAAAAAUCAUUUGAAGGAGGAUUUAGUAGUAAGCAAAAAGCAGAGUGUUUUGCUGAAACCGGCCCUGAAGCGCG